GUGGGGAAUCUUCCGCAAUGGACGAAAGUCUGACGGAGCAACGCCGCGUGAGUGAUGAAGGUCUUCGGAUUGUAAAACUCUGUUGUCAGGGACGAAUGUGCGAACGUUGAAUAAGCGUUUGUAUUGACGGUACCUGACGAGGAAGCCACGGCUAACUACGUGCCAGCAGCCGCGGUAAUACGUAGGUGGCAAGCGUUGUCCGGAAUUAUUGGGCGUAAAGAGCAUGUAGGCGGGCUUUUAAGUCCGACGUGAAAAUGCGGGGCUUAACCCCGGAUGGCGUUGGAUACUGGAAGUCUUGAGUGCAGGAGAGGAAAGGGGAAUUCCCAGUGUAGCGGUGAAAUGCGCAGAUAUUGGGAGGAACACCAGUGGCGAAGGCGCCUUUCUGGACUGUGUCUGACGCUGAGAUGCGAAAGCCAGGGUAGCGAACGGGAUUAGAAACCCCUGUAGUCC
RNAcentral lists this ribosomal RNA (450 nucleotides) under uncultured bacterium. Its description in RNAcentral is "partial 16S ribosomal RNA". It matches the Rfam family "Bacterial small subunit ribosomal RNA", at positions 354 to 796 of the family's 1533-position model. The record is from RNAcentral.